RNAcentral lists this long non-coding RNA (289 nucleotides) under Struthio camelus australis. RNAcentral describes it as "lncRNA (ENSSCUG00000006070.1)". Lineage: Eukaryota; Metazoa; Chordata; Aves; Struthioniformes; Struthionidae. The record is from RNAcentral.
CAGCAGGUUCCUGUCAUUGGGACUCUGGACUGGGAGUCUAGAUGCCUGUAACUGACCUCUAGGCAUUUCUUUUGGCAAAUCACUUAAUUUUCUGUAUUUCAUUUCCUUCACCUCUCAAGAAGAGUUAAUGAUACCUUCCUUAACAAAGGACUGCCUGCUUCAGUUGGUGUUCAGAAGACAUAGGCGUCACUUAAUGACCUGCUGUUCAAACUAUGCUCUGCGGACAACAUUAAUAGCCUUCCCUGCAAUUGCUGUGGUAUGUUUGAAACCUAAAAAAUGUGGAAACUGA